RNAcentral lists this ribosomal RNA (107 nucleotides) under Spinacia oleracea (spinach). The record is from RNAcentral. Lineage: Eukaryota; Viridiplantae; Streptophyta; Magnoliopsida; Caryophyllales; Amaranthaceae.
GGGUGCUAUCAUACCAACACUAAUGCACUGGAUUCCAUAAGAAUUUCAUAGUUAAGCGUGUUUAGGCGAGAGUAGUAUUAGGAUGGGAAGUAUUCGUGUUGCAACCC